RNAcentral lists this ribosomal RNA (371 nucleotides) under uncultured organism. Its description in RNAcentral is "partial 16S ribosomal RNA". It matches the Rfam family "Bacterial small subunit ribosomal RNA", at positions 527 to 896 of the family's 1533-position model. The record is from RNAcentral.
GUAGGUGGCAAGCGUUGUCCGGAAUUAUUGGGCGUAAAGCGCGCGCAGGCGGUUCUUUAAGUCUGAUGUGAAAGCCCACGGCUCAACCGUGGAGGGUCAUUGGAAACUGGAGAACUUGAGUACAGAAGAGGAAAGCGGAAUUCCACGUGUAGCGGUGAAAUGCGUAGAGAUGUGGAGGAACACCAGUGGCGAAGGCGGCUUUCUGGUCUGUAACUGACGCUGAGGCGCGAAAGCGUGGGGAGCAAGCAGGAUUAGAUACCCUGGUAGUCCACGCCGUAAACGAUGAGUGCUAAGUGUUAGGGGGUUUCCGCCCCUUAGUGCUGCAGCUAACGCAUUAAGCACUCCGCCCUGGGAGUACGGCCGCAAGGCUG